GAUGAACGCUAGCGGCAGGCUUAAUACAUGCAAGUCGUGGGGCAGCAUGAGUAGCAAUACUUGGUGGCGACCGGCAAACGGGUGCGGAACACGUACACAACCUUCCGAUAAGUGGGGAAUAGCCCAGAGAAAUUUGGAUUAAUACCCCGUAACAUAUAGAGUAGGCAUCUUCUUUACAUUAUAGCUUCGGCGCUUAUUGAUGGGUGUGCGUCUGAUUAGGUAGUUGGCGGGGUAACGGCCCACCAAGCCUACGAUCAGUAGCUGAUGUGAGAGCAUGAUCAGCCACACGGGCACUGAGACACGGGCCCGACUCCUACGGGAGGCAGCAGUAAGGAAUAUUGGACAAUGGGCGAAAGCCUGAUCCAGCCAUGCCGCGUGAAGGAUUAAGGUCCUCUGGAUUGUAAACUUCUUUUAUUUGGGACGAAAAAAGGGAAUUCUUUCCCACUUGACGGUACCAAGUGAAUAAGCACCGGCUAACUCCGUGCCAGCCGCCGCAGUAA
RNAcentral lists this ribosomal RNA (500 nucleotides) under uncultured bacterium. RNAcentral describes it as "partial 16S ribosomal RNA". It matches the Rfam family "Bacterial small subunit ribosomal RNA", at positions 28 to 523 of the family's 1533-position model. The record is from RNAcentral.